UGGGGAAUAUUGCACAAUGGGCGCAAGCCUGAUGCAGCAACGCCGCGUGAGGGAUGACGGCCUUCGGGUUGUAAACCUCUUUUAGCAGGGAAGAAGCGAAAGUGACGGUACCUGCAGAAAAAGCACCGGCUAACUACGUGCCAGCAGCCGCGGUAAUACGUAGGGUGCAAGCGUUGUCCGGAAUUAUUGGGCGUAAAGAGCUCGUAGGCGGUCUGUCGCGUCUGCUGUGAAAUCCCGAGGCUCAACCUCGGGCCUGCAGUGGGUACGGGCAGACUAGAGUGCGGUAGGGGAGAAUGGAACUCCUGGUGUAGCGGUGGAAUGCGCAGAUAUCAGGAAGAACACCGAUGGCGAAGGCAGUUCUCUGGGCCGUAACUGACGCUGAGGAGCGAAAGCGUGGGGAGCGAACAGGAUUAGAUACCCUGGUAGUCCACGCCGUAAACGUUGGGCGCUAGAUGUGGGGCACCAUUCCACGGUUUCCGUGUC
This 483-nucleotide ribosomal RNA is filed under the name uncultured bacterium. RNAcentral describes it as "partial 16S ribosomal RNA". It matches the Rfam family "Bacterial small subunit ribosomal RNA", at positions 355 to 847 of the family's 1533-position model. The record is from RNAcentral.